RNAcentral lists this unclassified non-coding RNA (338 nucleotides) under soil metagenome. Its description in RNAcentral is "partial contains 5.8S ribosomal RNA, internal transcribed spacer 2, and large subunit ribosomal RNA". The stretch from base 1 to 120 matches the Rfam family "5.8S ribosomal RNA", at positions 35 to 154 of the family's 154-position model. The record is from RNAcentral.
GAUGAAGAACGCAGCGAAAUGCGAUAAGUAAUGUGAAUUGCAGAAUUCAGUGAAUCAUCGAAUCUUUGAACGCACAUUGCGCCCGCCAGUAUUCUGGCGGGCAUGCCUGUCUGAGCGUCAUUUCAACCCUCAAGCAACUUCUGCUUGGUGUUGGGGAUCGGCCGUCAAACGCCGCCCCCGAAAUCUAUUGGCGAUCUCGCUGUAGCUUCCUAUGCGUAGUAGUAACAUCUCGCAUCUGGAGAGCGGGGCGGUCAUGCCGUAAAACACCCAACUUCUCAGGUUGACCUCAGAUCAGGUAGGAAUACCCGCUGAACUUAAGCAUAUCAAUAAGCGGAGGA